ACUGGUCUCUCCCUCUCACCUGGAUCCUAUAUAAAAAGCCCAGAUCAGUAAGUUCUGCAGCUUCAGAGACUUUCCACCACUGAAGAUCUUCAGCAGUCCGUGCUUCAGACAGCCAAGUCUACCGACAGAGUCAGGUGAAAGGGAAAAAUAACCUCCGUAAUCAUGAAGAUCCAGGUUGCCGGCUUCCUGCUGAUGCUGCUCUCUGCUGUCGAGCUCUGCGAAGGAUUAAGACGCAUCAAUGCCAUGACCGAAAAGCAAUGCGAUGCUGUAAUGGAUGCAGAAGUCAAUAAAGGGGGGGGAUGCCAGCAUGAGGAAACCUUCAUUGUGGCUUCUCUCGAUGCUGUCAAUGCCGCCUGUCAAAAUGUGAAGGAGGCUCUUGCCAAAUUUCCAGUUGUUGACUGUACACGCAAAAUGAUUAUGAAGUCUAACUUUUGUACCUAUGUAGGUAUUAAAGAUGAAGCACGUCAAGUUAGGCUUCAAUGUGUAAAUGGUAAAGCUGUGAACAUUUAAGGCUUAAACAUCGACACUGACUCCUUUGGUGUUUAAAGACUUGCUUAAAUCAGAUAAUUCCUGGCAUAUAUAAAAAUUUGAAGCUCAUGUUUAUCCUGAUAGACUCUUAAGCUACUUCUGUUUACAUUGUCAUCCGUUUCCCUACAUGUAACUAUGUCUGAACUUCCAGAGAGCCUUUUCUUUUGAGCCUUAUUACCCAUUACCAUCUUAUGUUUUGGUUUUGGCUUGUUUCUUGUAGCUGUCUCAAUCCAAAUAAACUUAUUGCUUACAAUCUGA
Molecule: long non-coding RNA, 786 nt
Organism: Xiphophorus couchianus (Monterrey platyfish)
Lineage: Eukaryota; Metazoa; Chordata; Actinopteri; Cyprinodontiformes; Poeciliidae
Exons: 2
Source: RefSeq, a predicted model, not a curated record